RNAcentral lists this long non-coding RNA (252 nucleotides) under Prunus dulcis (almond). Its description in RNAcentral is "sRNA ncRNA". Lineage: Eukaryota; Viridiplantae; Streptophyta; Magnoliopsida; Rosales; Rosaceae. The record is from RNAcentral.
AAUUUAUUUUGAAUCUUGGAAGGCUUGUUGAACGGGCAGAAUUGAGGCCUCUUUAGUCUGAAGAGGAAAAAAGUGGCUAGAUUGAUGGUUACUAAGCUGGAGCUGCGCUAUGGUACCUGUUCUACUAAACCAAGGCUUUCUGUAAAUUUGCUAAGGUUUUCAUAUUGUAAAAACUCGGACUCUGCUUGACUUGGCUUGUGUUGAACCAAAUUUGUAACGAGAGAAGUCUCGCUUUGUAAAACUGUUUCUCUC